CAGUCGCCACGGUAAUACGGAGGGAGCUAGCGUUGUUCGGAAUUAUUGGGCGUAAAGGGCUCGCAGGCGGUUUCUUAAGUCUGAUGUGAAAGCCCCCGGCUCAACCGGGGAGGGUCAUUGGAAACUGGGAAACUUGAGUGCAGAAGAGGAGAGUGGAAUUCCACGUGUAGCGGUGAAAUGCGUAGAGAUGUGGAGGAACACCAGUGGCGAAGGCGACUCUCUGGUCUGUAACUGACGCUGAGGAGCGAAAGCGUGGGGAGCAAACAGGAUUAGAUACCCGCGUAGUCCCUGUCUCUUAUAC
This 301-nucleotide ribosomal RNA is filed under the name uncultured bacterium. Its description in RNAcentral is "partial 16S ribosomal RNA". It matches the Rfam family "Bacterial small subunit ribosomal RNA", at positions 509 to 807 of the family's 1533-position model. The record is from RNAcentral.